GCAGAAGAUAGAGGCGCGGAUUUGAAGAGUAGCAGAGCUUGAGGCUGCCAAAGCCGGUGACAGUCUGUAAAAGGAAAAUUCGCCGAAGGGAUGGCUUGGAACAGCAAUUCCUGGUUGAGUGUGUGAAACAUCGACUCAACUGUCGUCAUAGAAUUAUGAUGGAGCGCUAUCGGCAAG
This 177-nucleotide non-coding RNA is filed under the name Ruminococcaceae bacterium CPB6. RNAcentral describes it as "Lysine riboswitch aptamer". It matches the Rfam family "Lysine riboswitch aptamer". Rfam says of the family: Riboswitches are metabolite binding domains within certain messenger RNAs that serve as precision sensors for their corresponding targets. Allosteric rearrangement of mRNA structure is mediated by ligand binding, and this results in modulation of gene expression. This family includes riboswitches that sense lysine in a number of genes involved in lysine metabolism, including lysC. Lineage: Bacteria; Bacillati; Bacillota; Clostridia; Eubacteriales; Oscillospiraceae. The record is from Rfam by way of RNAcentral. RNAcentral also lists the same sequence under 1 other name.